GAAUGAUCGCAAGCGCACUUCACCUCACACAAACGCAGCACGGGGUUGAUAAAGGCUCAUACAGGCUGGACUACUACAUUUACAGAGGGGGGAUCAGUGACGACAAAUGCGGGAAAAAGGGUGUGGCCAAAGGUUUCAUUGGUGCUUUCCCAUCAUUGCAAGUUUUCAGAUGCUGGCCAGUCACUUCUUCCAAGACCCCAAACACUGCCAUGUGACCAGACUGCUCCACUGAAACUGCAUAGUGUGUGUCUACUUUCAACACUAAGACUUAAGGUCACCGUAGCCACCAGAUACAGUCUGUAUCCAGAUCAGAUGGUGGAUCACCACCUAGACAAGCUCUUGACAGCCCUGAAUGUCAGCCGAGACCAGGACAACUAGAUGAGCCCCAGAGACAAAUCCUCAUCACCAAGACAGCCAUCGGGACAAGACCACAGGAACCAGACCAGUCCUCUGCACAAUCUGACCUGUGUCGCAGCCUGCAAUUGAACUGCUGGAUUCGUCUGGCCAGAGAAGAACGAUGGAGUUUUGGUUCCUUCGACACACAAUUUUUCUGUUUAAUACUGUAAAGCUGCUUUGACACAAUCUGUAGUGUAAAAAGCACUAUGUAGAUACAGUGACUGGACAUUACUUGACUCAGUUCAGUUGAACUGUAACACCUGGUUCAUUUAUUGUUUUCUGACUUCUGCCUCAUUUUAAAUAUGUAAUUGUGAACAGUAGUAAUAUUUUUUUAAAUGUUUGUUAGCAAACAUUUUGUUUAACUUUAUUAGUCUUUUUUUUUAAGUUCAUUAAACAAAUGUUUAACAUAAAACUUUUCAGUUGUAUUACAAAUGUA
Molecule: long non-coding RNA, 832 nt
Organism: Cyprinus carpio (common carp)
Lineage: Eukaryota; Metazoa; Chordata; Actinopteri; Cypriniformes; Cyprinidae
Exons: 3
Source: RefSeq, a predicted model, not a curated record